UACGUAGGUGGCAAGCGUUGUCCGGAUUUAUUGGGUUUAAAGGGUGCGUAGGCGGCUUUGUAAGUCAGUGGUGAAAUAUGGCAGCUCAACUGUCAAGGUGCCAUUGAUACUGCGGAGCUUGUGUACAGAUGAGGUAGGCGGAAUUGACGGUGUAGCGGUGAAAUGCUUAGAUAUCGUCAAGAACACCUACAGCGAAGGCAGCUUACUAGGCUGUAACUGACGCUGAGGCACGAAAGUGUGGGGAUCAAACAGG
Molecule: ribosomal RNA, 253 nt
Filed under: uncultured bacterium
Lineage: Bacteria
Description: partial 16S ribosomal RNA
Rfam family: Bacterial small subunit ribosomal RNA
Source: RNAcentral